Molecule: small nucleolar RNA, 134 nt
Filed under: Aegilops tauschii subsp. strangulata
Lineage: Eukaryota; Viridiplantae; Streptophyta; Magnoliopsida; Poales; Poaceae
Description: snoRNA SNORD14
Rfam family: Small nucleolar RNA SNORD14
About the family: U14 small nucleolar RNA (U14 snoRNA) is required for early cleavages of eukaryotic precursor rRNAs. In yeasts, this molecule possess a stem-loop region (known as the Y-domain) which is essential for function.
Source: RNAcentral
UGACGAUGAUGAUAAAACUAAGGCUUGUUUCUCAAAACAUUCGCAGUUGUCGCCUAAGAGUUUUGCCUAAGAGUUUUUGCCCUGCCAGGCUUGAGAGCUAAUGUUGCUAAUUCCUUCCUUGAAUGUCUGAGCGA